GCGUUUGUGGUUUAGUGGUAAAAUCGAUCCUUGCCAUUAGUGCUUCCCACAACAACUUGGAUUGGCCCCGGGUUCGAUUCCCGGCGAACGCA
Molecule: transfer RNA, 92 nt
Filed under: Calycina marina
Lineage: Eukaryota; Fungi; Ascomycota; Leotiomycetes; Helotiales; Pezizellaceae
Rfam family: tRNA
About the family: Transfer RNA (tRNA) molecules are approximately 80 nucleotides in length. Their secondary structure includes four short double-helical elements and three loops (D, anti-codon, and T loops). Further hydrogen bonds mediate the characteristic L-shaped molecular structure. tRNAs have two regions of fundamental functional importance: the anti-codon, which is responsible for specific mRNA codon recognition, and the 3' end, to which the tRNAs corresponding amino acid is attached (by aminoacyl-tRNA synthetases). tRNAs cope with the degeneracy of the genetic code in two manners: having more than one tRNA (with a specific anti-codon) for a particular amino acid; and 'wobble' base-pairing, i.e. permitting non-standard base-pairing at the 3rd anti-codon position.
Source: Rfam by way of RNAcentral